Molecule: ribosomal RNA, 467 nt
Filed under: Shouchella clausii
Lineage: Bacteria; Bacillati; Bacillota; Bacilli; Caryophanales; Bacillaceae
Description: bacterial SSU rRNA
Rfam family: Bacterial small subunit ribosomal RNA
Source: RNAcentral
GACGAACGCUGGCGGCGUGCCUAAUACAUGCAAGUCGAGCGGAGUUUCAAGAAGCUUGCUUUUUGAAACUUAGCGGCGGACGGGUGAGUAACACGUGGGCAACCUGCCCCUUAGACUGGGAUAACUCCGGGAAACCGGAGCUAAUACCGGAUAAUCCCUUUCUCCACCUGGAGAGAGGGUGAAAGAUGGCUUCGGCUAUCACUAGGGGAUGGGCCCGCGGCGCAUUAGCUAGUUGGUAAGGUAACGGCUUACCAAGGCGACGAUGCGUAGCCGACCUGAGAGGGUGAUCGGCCACACUGGGACUGAGACACGGCCCAGACUCCUACGGGAGGCAGCAGUAGGGAAUCUUCCGCAAUGGACGAAAGUCUGACGGAGCAACGCCGCGUGAGUGAGGAAGGCCUUCGGGUCGUAAAGCUCUGUUGUGAGGGAAGAAGCGGUACCGUUCGAAUAGGGCGGUACCUUGACGG